AAGGCCCUUCGGGGUACACGAGCGGCGGACGGCUGAGUAACACGUAGGAACGUACCCCAAAGUGAGGGAUAAGCACCAGAAAUGGUGUCUAAUACCGCAUGUGCUCUAAGGAGUAAAGCUCCGGCGCUUUGGGAACGGCCUGCGCAUGAUUAGCUAGAUGGUGAGGUAAUGGCUCACCAUGGCGACGAUCAUUAGCUGGUCUGAGAGGAUGAUCAGCCAGACUGGGACUGAGACACGGCCCAGACUCCUACGGGAGGCAGCAGUAGGGAAUUUUCCACAAUGGGCGAAAGCCUGAUGGAGCAACGCCGCGUGCAGGAUGAAUGCCUUCGGGUUGUAAACUGCUUUUAUAUGUGACGAAUAUGACGGUAGCAUAUGAAUAAGGAUCGGCUAACUCCGUGCCAGCAGCCGCGGUCAUACGGAGGAUCCAAGCGUUAUCCGGAAUUACUGGGCGUAAAGAGUUGCGUAGGCGGCAUAGUAAGCAGAUAGUGAAAGCGUGUGGCUCAACCAUACUCACAUUAUCUGAACUGCUAAGCUAGAGGACGAGAGAGGUCACUGGAAUUCCUAGUGUAGGAGUGAAAUCCGUAGAUAUUAGGAGGAACACCAAUGGCGUAGGCAGGUGACUGGCUCGUUCCUGACGCUCAGGCACGAAAGCGUGGGGAGCAAACGGGAUUAGAUACCCCGGUAGUCCACGCCGUAAACGAUGGAUGCUAGCUGUUAGAGGUAUCGACCCCUCUAGUAGCGAAGCUAACGCGUUAAGCAUCCCGCCUUUUGGAGUACGGUCGCAAGACUAAAACAU
RNAcentral lists this ribosomal RNA (796 nucleotides) under bacterium enrichment culture. Its description in RNAcentral is "bacterial SSU rRNA". It matches the Rfam family "Bacterial small subunit ribosomal RNA", at positions 72 to 902 of the family's 1533-position model. The record is from RNAcentral.